CCUACGGGAUGCAGCAGUGAGGAAUAUUGGUCAAUGGACGCAAGUCUGAACCAGCCAUGCCGCGUGCAGGAAGAAGGAUCUAUGGUUUGUAAACUUCUUUUAUAGGGGAAUAAAGGUAUCCACGUGUGGAUAUUUGCAUGUACCCUAUGAAUAAGCAUCGGCUAACUCCGUGCCAGCAGCCGCGGUAAUACGGAGGAUGCGAGCGUUAUCCGGAUUUAUUUGGUUUAAAGGGUGCGUAGGUUGUUUUUUAAGUCAGCGGUGAAAGUUUGUGGCUCAACCAUAAAAUUGCCGUUGAAACUGGAAGACUUGAGUGUGUUUGAGGUAGGCGGAAUGCGUGGUGGAGCGGUGAAAUGCAUAGAUAUCACGCAGAACUCCGAGUGCGAAGGCAGCUUACUAAGCCAUAACUGACACUGAAGCACGAAAGCGUGGGGAUCAAACAGGAUUAGAUACCCCAGUAGUC
Molecule: ribosomal RNA, 460 nt
Filed under: uncultured bacterium
Lineage: Bacteria
Description: partial 16S ribosomal RNA
Rfam family: Bacterial small subunit ribosomal RNA
Source: RNAcentral